UUUCCCUCAACUUCUCAGGCGAUUUUUGCGAUUUUAUAGGGUUCCGCCGUCGAUGGCCAGUUCAGGCCAAUCCACGGCUGUUCUUCACCGGAUUUUUGAGGGCUUUUGUCCUCUAUCAUGUUUCCUCAUGAUUUCCAGGUUUAUUUUCGUAUAAUUCUCAUUUUGUGGUCUCGAAUUUGACUUGUUUAUUGGGAUGUUGCUCGGUUUCUUCGUGUAUGUGGUUGCCAUGGGCGGGGCCUCGAGCCCUUGGCCAACUUGUGUGCCACAUAUAACAAAUGAAGGACCUGGGCAAAAAUGGAGCAUACGUUUGGACCCGAGGUUACCCCGUUGCAUAAUAUCUCUAUUGGGCUUGGUCGGCCCAAUUUCUCUUCUAUUUAUUUAUGUAUUUAAGUUUCUUGCUUGUGUAUUUAUUUAUAAAAUUGGAACCCUUAAAAGAU
This is a long non-coding RNA of Lycium ferocissimum, 437 nucleotides long. RefSeq lists it as uncharacterized. NCBI's taxonomy places the organism in Eukaryota, Viridiplantae, Streptophyta, Magnoliopsida, Solanales, Solanaceae. The record is from RefSeq and is a predicted model, not a curated record. The transcript is spliced from 2 exons.